This 549-nucleotide ribosomal RNA is filed under the name uncultured Glomeromycotina. RNAcentral's name for it is "SSU rRNA". It matches the Rfam family "Eukaryotic small subunit ribosomal RNA", at positions 548 to 1098 of the family's 1831-position model. Lineage: Eukaryota; Fungi; Glomeromycota. The record is from RNAcentral.
UUGGAGGGCAAGUCUGGUGCCAGCAGCCGCGGUAAUUCCAGCUCCAAUAGCGUAUAUUAAAGUUGUUGCAGUUAAAAAGCUCGUAGUUGGACUUCGGGGUCUACCCAUUGGUCAGGCUUAAUUGUCUGCACUGGUGAGAUGGAUCUCUACCUUCUGAGGAACUUUCAUGCCAUUUAUUUGGUGUGAUGGGAAAUCAGGACUGUUACUUUGAAAAAAUUAGAGUGUUUAAAGCAGACUAUCGUCUGAAUACAUUAGCAUGGAAUAAUGAAAUAGGACGGACUGAUUCUAUUUCGUUGGUUUCUAGGAUCACCGUAAUGAUUAAUAGGGAUAGUUGGGGGCAUUAGUAUUCAAUUGUCAGAGGUGAAAUUCUUGGAUUUAUUGAAGACUAACUACUGCGAAAGCAUUUGCCAAGGAUGUUUUCAUUAAUCAAGAACGAAAGUUAGGAGAUCGAAGACGAUCAGAUACCGUCGUAGUCUUAACCAUAAACUAUGCCGACUAGGGAUCGGACGAAGUUAUUAAAAAUGACGCGUUCGGCGCCUUACGGGAAAC